UACGUAGGUGGCAAGCGUUGUCCGGAUUUACUGGGCGUAAAGGAUGCGUAGGCGGAUAUUUAAGCCAGAUGUGAAAUACCCGAGCUCAACUUGGGUGCUGGAUUUGAAACUGGGUAUCUAGAGUGCGGGAGAGGAGAGUGGAAUUCCUAGUGUAGCGGUGAAAUGCGUAGAGAUUAGGAAGAACACCAGUGGCGAAGGCGACUCUCUGGACCGUAACUGACGCUGAGGCAUGAAAGCGUGGGGAGCAAACAGG
This 253-nucleotide ribosomal RNA is filed under the name uncultured bacterium. Its description in RNAcentral is "partial 16S ribosomal RNA". It matches the Rfam family "Bacterial small subunit ribosomal RNA", at positions 524 to 776 of the family's 1533-position model. The record is from RNAcentral.